Molecule: long non-coding RNA, 368 nt
Organism: Trachymyrmex septentrionalis
Lineage: Eukaryota; Metazoa; Arthropoda; Insecta; Hymenoptera; Formicidae
Exons: 3
Source: RefSeq, a predicted model, not a curated record
UUUCGGCAGAUUUAUUCAAAAUAAACUUUUAAAUUCUUUAAAGUAUCGUUAGGAUUAUUAUAGGAUUAUAUUUUGACGAAAAGUGAAAAUGUGUUAAAUCCGAUUCGAAUAUCGCGUCAACUGAUUGAAACUGACAAAAAACGAGAGAAGUUCGAACUUUGAACGCGUUCCUUCGACUGACGCCGCAAAGUAACUAUGAGGAAGGCAAUAAUGAGAGAGAAGAUUCAGCGAAACGAGUUUCGAUCGCUCGGAACGGAGGCGUAUCUCUAGGAUGAGGAAAAUAAUCAAUGUCGCUGAAAAGUCUUCCACGCAUACACGAAAAUUCUUCAAUAACGUGAUGAAACCUUCCAUCAAUAACAGAGGAAAUA